AACGAACGCUGGCGGCAGGCCUAACACAUGCAAGUCGAACGCCGUAGCAAUACGGAGUGGCAGACGGGUGAGUAACGCGUGGGAACAUACCCCUCGGUUCGGAAUAACUUAGGGAAACUUGAGCUAAUACCGGAUACGUCCGAGGUUUUAACCGGCCUCGGAGAAAGAUUUAUCGCCGGAGGAUUGGCCCGCGUCUGAUUAGCUUGUUGGUGAGGUAAUGGCUCACCAAGGCGACGAUCAGUAGCUGGUCUGAGAGGAUGAUCAGCCACAUUGGGACUGAGACACGGCCCAAACUCCUACGGGAGGCAGCAGUGGGGAAUAUUGGACAAUGGGCGAAAGCCUGAUCCAGCCAUGCCGCGUGAGUGAUGAAGGCCUUAGGGUUGUAAAGCUCUUUUACCCGGGAAGA
RNAcentral lists this ribosomal RNA (406 nucleotides) under uncultured bacterium. Its description in RNAcentral is "bacterial SSU rRNA". It matches the Rfam family "Bacterial small subunit ribosomal RNA", at positions 29 to 448 of the family's 1533-position model. The record is from RNAcentral.